UACGUAGGGUGCAAGCGUUGUCCGGAUUUAUUGGGCGUAAAGAGCUCGUAGGCGGUCUGUUGCGUCGGCUGUGAAAACCCGGGGCUCAACCCCGGGCCUGCAGCCGAUACGGGCAGACUAGAGUUCGGCAGGGGAGACUGGAAUUCCUGGUGUAGCGGUGAAAUGCGCAGAUAUCAGGAGGAACACCGGUGGCGAAGGCGGUUCUCUGGGCCUUACCUGACGCUGAGGAGCGAAAGCGUGGGGAGCGAACAGG
This 253-nucleotide ribosomal RNA is filed under the name uncultured bacterium. RNAcentral describes it as "partial 16S ribosomal RNA". It matches the Rfam family "Bacterial small subunit ribosomal RNA", at positions 524 to 776 of the family's 1533-position model. The record is from RNAcentral.